GACCUCAAAUCAGGUAGGGUUACCCGCUGAACUUAAGCAUAUCAAUAAG
Molecule: ribosomal RNA, 49 nt
Filed under: Neolentinus kauffmanii
Lineage: Eukaryota; Fungi; Basidiomycota; Agaricomycetes; Gloeophyllales; Gloeophyllaceae
Description: partial 28S large subunit ribosomal RNA
Source: RNAcentral